AACGAACGCUGGCGGCAUGCCUAACACAUGCAAGUCGAACGAGACCUUCGGGUCUAGUGGCGCACGGGUGCGUAACGCGUGGGAACCUGCCCUUAGGUUCGGAAUAACUCCCCGAAAGGGGUGCUAAUACCGGAUAAUGUCUUCGGACCAAAGAUUUAUCGCCUUUGGAUGGGCCCGCGUUGGAUUAGCUAGUUGGUGGGGUAAAAGCCUACCAAGGCGACGAUCCAUAGCUGGACUGAGAGGAUGAUCAGCCACACUGGGACUGAGACACGGCCCAGACUCCUACGGGAGGCAGCAGUGGGGAAUAUUGGACAAUGGGCGAAAGCCUGAUCCAGCAAUGCCGCGUGAGUGAUGAAGGCCUUAGGGUUGUAAAGCUCUUUUACCCGGGAUGAUAAUGACAGUACCGGGAGAAUAAGCUCCGGCUAACUCCGUG
This 433-nucleotide ribosomal RNA is filed under the name uncultured bacterium. RNAcentral describes it as "partial 16S ribosomal RNA". It matches the Rfam family "Bacterial small subunit ribosomal RNA", at positions 29 to 507 of the family's 1533-position model. The record is from RNAcentral.